CCUACGGGUGGCAGCAGUGAGGAAUAUUGGUCAAUGGGCUAAGGCCUGAACCAGCCAAGUCGCGUGAGGGAAGACGGUCCUAUGGAUUGUAAACCUCUUUUGUCGGGGAGCAACGAGGCCACGUGUGGCCGAAGUGAGCGUACCCGAAGGAAAAGCAUCGGCUAACUCCGUGCCAGCAGCCGCGGUAAUACGGAGGAUGCGAGCGUUAUCCGGACUUAAUGGGUUUAAAGGGUGCGUAGGCGGAACAUUAAGUCAGCGGGAAAAUCGCGGGGCGCAACCCCUUUAAGCCGUUGAAACUGGGGAUCUGGAGUGGGCGAGAAGGAUGCGGAAUGCGUGGUGUAGCGGUGAAAUGCAUAGAUAUCACGCAGAACUCCGAUUGCGAAGGCAGCAUACCGGCGCCCGACUGACGCUGAGGCACGAAAGCGUGGGGAGCGAACAGGAUUAGAUACCCUGGUAGUC
Molecule: ribosomal RNA, 459 nt
Filed under: uncultured bacterium
Lineage: Bacteria
Description: partial 16S ribosomal RNA
Rfam family: Bacterial small subunit ribosomal RNA
Source: RNAcentral